Molecule: small RNA, 513 nt
Filed under: Pan troglodytes (chimpanzee)
Lineage: Eukaryota; Metazoa; Chordata; Mammalia; Primates; Hominidae
Description: processed transcript
Source: RNAcentral
AUUCUGGUUGUUUAGACGUGGAUGUGUGGCAUGGGUGUGUAAAGGAGCCCCUUCCAAGAAGAUACCUAGCUUAAAUACAUUAUAGUUCUUAUCAGUAUUCUUAUAGUCUAGACUCAAGAAGAGGUCUGCCAUGGGUGAACUUGAGCACAACAGAUUCCAACAUUGAGGGUGUGGAAACUCUUCAAGAGAAUAAGCAGUUUCUUACCAGAAAUCCAUCAGCUAAUACUGAAUAAACAAUUGAAGAGUAUUUUAAGGAACAAAGAAGAAAGGAGUGAGAAGCUGAUGACCUGAAGUUUUCACGUGGGACUAAUUUAGGUAAUAUUCUUUUAGUAAAUGGUACAGCGUGUGGAGAGAUAAAAAUUACAGAUUUUGGUCUUUCGAAGAUCAUGGAUGAUGAUAGCUACAAUUCAGUGGAUGGCAUGGAGCUAACAUCACAAGGUGCUGGUACUUAUUGGUAUUUACCACCAGAGUGUUUUGUGGUUGGGAAAGAACCACCAAAGAUCUCAAAUAAAG